GGCGGGGUGAGGCGGCGUGAGGGGAGUGAGGAGGGACGCUGACAGCGCUCUUUGAGUUACCCUCUCCCGGUAUUUGGGUACAAAUCACCGCGUGUGCCCCGCAUGGAAGGGUGAUCUGUGACCAAAGGCAGACGGUCAGCGUCUCCCUGGAAGUGCAGGCUACGGAUGCUCUCCCAUCACUUCACUGACAUGAAAAGUGCACAGAGACCCUUGCAAGUAUUGACAGUAGAGACAGAGCUGGCCCUGGCACCUCCUGGACACAAAGUCAGGGAAUAUCUAACAGUCCCAAGCCUUAGCUCUGGAGUACAAAGCUAGCAGAAUCUUUCAAGCUGUCACUGAUCCAAAACUCCCUGCAAAGCAGCACUGUCAGCAUGGAAAGCUAAUGUUACAACAAGUUCUUUCAGGAGAGCAGAAAGGGGUUCUAACAGAGAAAAGGGCAGAUUCAAUAAGACCAACACCCGAGAAAUGAGUUCUGAAGUAUCCUGAAGGAACAGGAGCAUUCGUGGAGCUGGUCAAAGGAAAUUCGAAGGAGCAGAACUAAGUCAUUGGAAAAAGCAUGUCUGCAUGCUUUAACAGCCCUGAAAGGCUCUCUAAAGAAAUGAAUACAAACACAGUGAGCCAAAACCCAAAAGCAACAGCCUUGAAAAACUGCAAAAAAAAACCCCUCAAACUGGCAUCACCAGAGAUAAAGGAAGUUAAUGUAAUUAUCAGUGAGAAAGGGGAGCCCAGCACAUGAAGAGAAUUAGGAAUCCAUCAUAUUCUCCCACAGAGCAGUGCUGAGAGGAUGCAAAACCCCCUCAACUUCUGUUGCUGAGAUGCAACUUGCAGCUCUAGACUUGGCCAGAACCCUGGAAUUUCAUCCCAGUGGCACUGUCAGCUCUGUGGGCUCACGGGACAGGAAUUCUGGCUGGACAGGCAGCAUGCCUGCAACACUUCAGCACAGCUCAGUGGAAACAGGAUCUGGGAAUGCUGCACUUCCACUAGAGCUAGAAGUGGGAAACACAUCAGGUCUCAGACCAACCUGGUAACAGAAACGUGUGCAAAUUUCCAGCACUAUUUUAGCUGUGAACCUUUAAGGAUCAAGGCUUGACAUCUGAGCAAAAAGAAAAAGUCAUGAGAACUUUAAGAGCAGGGCAGCAAAGCUCUUUGCAACCCAUAUGGAGAAGACUGAGUCUCAGGGAAGUUCACUGACAUGGAACUGAUUUCACAUGACAGAAAUAGAGGCUGAAACACCAAUUUACCUCAGUGAAACCUGCUGCAAGCUGACUCAGCCAGGGGGCUGAGCUCUGUCUCAGCAAUGUGGGAUUCACAGAAAAAUCUCCACAGGUCACAGGAAAUGAGCAGUUCAUCAGUAACAUUCAUCAGCCUGGUCAAUCUUCAAUCUUCACCAGGAUGAACAAGGCAUUUUGGAGUGUCUUUUUUUUUUCCUUUGGAACAGGUUCACUCUCCUGAAUUAAUGCACAACAGCCUGAGGGACCUGCCAAGUGUACCUGAAUCCAAGUUGGACUUUAAGAAGAAAAGUCCUCUGGAACAUUAUGUACAGAAUCACUGUACUGUAUCCUGGAAAAUCAGAUCCUAAGAGGUGUUUUGCACAGCUGAACAACAGCCAGAGGACACAGACCCUCCAAAUCAGAAAGAUCAAUGCACUCCUUGAAGGGACAGAGAGAAAAGCAUCAAAAAGCAGCUAUGUCACCCUCCCAAAGACCACACUGCCAGAAAACCAUGUGCAUUUCUGAUGCUUUUCUUUUAAAAAAUGUAAGACAGCUACAGAAGAUUUAGAACAAGAAAUCUAUAAACUUAAUCUAAAUUAAUCAUCAAUUAAUAUGAAGGCAGCAAUUUCAUAAUUGUCUGGAGAACUUAAAUAGAUGACUCCUAAAAUUCAGCUAAAACAGGCAUAUAAAGGUCAACAUAGUUCAAAGUCAAAGGUGGUAAAAUGCAGAUUGGAAAUAAAAUACAACUCCACCUUCCCAAGCAAGUGGAAAACUUUCCAUCAGUUUAACUCUUUGGUGGAUCUUCUUCAGCUACAAUGUUCACAUGCACUGGGAAACCAUUCCACUCCCUACAGGCUCCUGAGUUUUGUCAUUCCCUGGUAUAAUGAAAUUCAAAAAAUUAACAGAUUUCAGGCUCAGAGGAAUUCUUCAGCCUCUUGUUUGAACUGUGACACUGCUCAUACCUGCAGGCCAAUUCAGGGAAGAUCUGACACAAGGAAAAGUUACAGCAACAAGGUGAAUGGGGUUUUGGGGAAUAAGAGCAGUUUUCCUUCAUGAUGCUGGGAUUCCUCUUGAAGGCACAAGUCUGAGCAGCACAGGGUGCACAUCUUCUGAGGGCUCCCAGGAAGAGCACAAGCAUGGAAAGGUGAGUCCAGUUCCUGCAGGAACUUCUGUCACUUCCUGUGACAACUGGGACACUUGGGUACUGGAAAUUCUCCUUCUGCAGCCUGGCACAGCUGAGGAAGAGCUGCUCAGGGAGUGCCUCCACCACCAGCACUGCUCAGCUGAGCAAGAUUAACUUUUCAAAAGAGAAGCACAAAGCUCAGUAUCCUCUUUCUUCCUUACUCCAUCUUCACUAACAUAACUCCAGCCAUCUCAGGAUGCCACAAAAGGUGAGGAAAGAGUUAAAAUACAAUGGGUCCCACAAGUGAAGAACGUUUCAAACCUGGCUCAUAUCAGUUCUCUGUUUAUGAUGCACAUUCCCUCCUGUCACAACCCUCUGACACUCUGCUGCCUUUGUGCCAGUCCAGGAAAAAGUGCUUGUGUAUGUUUUAAAUAUUGUCCAGAUGCUGGGGAAUCAGGGCUAUAAACCACCCAAUAUUCUGCUGAUUGGGCAGGUGGUGAAACCACAGAGCACCUUCUCCCUUUCUCAGACAUCUCAGGGGGUUUGCAUUUCUCUCUUCACUCCAAUUGUUAGUGUCAAUAGGGAGUUUUCUCUUUAUUCCCAAGCUUUGGAAACCUUUUCCUUCACAGAAAUACAAGUCUUUAUUUUUGCAUCUAGUUUUAUUGUGUAAGGGUGGCUCCCUUUCCCAAUUCAGAGUGUGUUCAGGGCCACAAAAGCUGUUCUUAUCUCCCAGAGCACCAGUAAGACACCCCAGUGAUGUCAGCCACUUCCUCCUGGAGCAUAUGGGAACUGGGCUCUGAAGGCACCAACCACAUUCCAGCCCUUGUGCUUCCCCCACCCCAUGGGGACACCUUUUUUCCUUGUUCUCAAGUACCUUCCUACUCAUGCUGAGCAGAACAAAUAAAUCCCAUGAACGCCCUAUAAAAACAUAAAUGUUGAGUGGAAGAGCUCUGAGCACACCAGGAAAACAUUCACUCAGGAGUUAGACUCAUUUCUGAUCACUGCAGUCAUCAUUUACAGAUCAGAGGAUAAGAGCAGAUGUCUAAUACAGGCAAUUUCUAAAACUGCAACUAGUUUGCAUUUAAAUAUAUUUUGAUCUCAAUAUAAAAAUGAAAAUAAAACCAAAACACAAGCAUCAGAAUUAAACCACUCUGCUCACACAUGCCUAAAGCCAUUUCACCCAGGGCUGAGUGUGGGCAUCAUUCUGUAAGGAUUCUAUGAUUCCAGGAAGUUCAAUUCAAUCCAGAAUCAUGUUCUCAAAACUCAUAAAUGUGAAAACAUCCAUUUCUGCAUUUUAGCUGUUAUAUUUGCCUCCUUCAGGCAGACAAAUUUAAUAACAUUAAAGCUUUAUCUUUAUAAUGCUGCACUCAAGAGAGAGCAUUUCUAUCUUUAGGUAUUUCAGGCAUUUUUUAGUGCAUAUCACACAUUUUUACCCCAAGCCCCCAUGUCACAAUGCAAAUGCAUGAUAAAUUUAAUAUUUCCUCUGCUGUUCAUCAAUAUGCCAAUGCCUGCAGGGAGCACUUUGUCUUGUUUGGGAUUUCUUUAGCCAUAACUGUGAUACUUCAUCACAAAUUAUCCACUUCCACUGAAAACAAAUUCUUUUUCUUUCCCAUAAUUCAGUGAUUUAUCCUACUUUUAGCAUCCUUAAAACAUUCCAGAAAAAUUCUCUUCAAUUCUUUUUUCUUUGUUAUGUUGAAAAAUUACCUGCAAGAAGUUAGAAACUGCAGAAUCAGUCAAAAGGUCAAUUUAACAAAUUUACUUUAUACUUCAGAAAUCAAAGAAGGUAUCAUGUUUUUGUGACAUUGUGGUUUUUAGGGAAGCCAAAGUUCCUCAUUUCAUUCAUUCUGUGCUGAGGCUCCCCUAUCCCUGAGAGCAGCCAGGAAUUUCACAGACACUGAGCCCAACACAAAUCAACCCAAGAACCCAACCUGGAAUAUUCAAAUUUCCCAGAGAGACCCGUGCAUUUGCCAAACAAUAAAUUGCUAAAAAAAAAAAAGAAUGUACCAUACUAAAAUAGAGUGAUUUUGGUUUUCCUAAUGUUUUACCUUGGCCACAAUAAACAAGCAGGACAAUUUGCAAACAUUUAACUCUUUUUACUGCAUUAGCUUCCCUACCCAAACACAGAAUCAUCUUCAAUCUUCCACUGUUUUCACCUCCCUUCCACUGCAGAACAACCUCCCACUUAUUUUUUUCUGAAAGAGCACCUUAAUUACACUUGAAGUAUAAUUCAAUAUAUACCUCCCCAGCACCUUCUUUGGUUGGAGCAUGAACACAGCAGCAUCAGCAUGGAGGCAUGAUUUAAUUAAAAUUACUGAAAUCAGCGUGGGAGUGUCUGUAGUGCAGGAGUGAUGCAUCACUCCUCCCCAGAACCUCCAGGGGACAAAUAAAAAGGAGACCAACCAAAACAUAAUUAUACUUCUCCAGAUAUAUUAAGCCUACUGUGCCACCAGCUUACACAGCUACUCUUUUAAAACAGAAGAGAAUUACAAGGUACUUCAUGAUUUUAACCAAAGCCAACCCACAGAAUGCCACAAAAUGUUACUGAGCUUGGGAUGCAACACAAGGAAAAAGUCAGGAUGGCUGUACUGAAGUGAUGCCACUGUUUUUCCAGAGAUUAGCUGUCCCCAAAAAACAACUGCCCAGAAGUGACAGACACUCAUGACCCAGUGUUUUUUAAGUCUUUAAAAUCCAAUUAGGUUGGAUUCACAACAAAGCAUGCUGGUGACUGACUCUGCUCUACACACAACCAACCAUCCCUGUCAGCAAUUGCAGCACCAAACCUGUGUCUGCACACACAUGAACAACAGGAACCCACCACAUUCUGACCCCCCACAGCAGCAAUAAAUUCCACUUCCAGCUGAACUCAGCCACCUUUAACACCUUCUACCUGUGGAGCUCUGUAACCUGAGUGCACUGUGCAGCUCCGGAGGUUCCUGGGAUGAACAGGAUGAGUUUAGACUUUCCCCACUUUUCCAAUCUGAAAUGCUUCCCCUGUAUGACAGUGCAAAUCUACUGGCACUAAUUUUGUUUUCUCUCAGAUUAUCUCCUUAGUCAACCCCCCUUUUCAGAGACUGAAAAAUAAAACAAGUCUUGUUACAUCUUCCCACUACUGGUCUCCUGUUCCACCCAUAGACCUGCACCAGUGUCUCUGUCUACUUUCUGCCCAAAAAGUUCACCAAAUCUCGUAUUACACAGAUUUACUAUAAUUAAAAAAUAUCUAGUGGCUCCUUGCAGAGAUGCCAAUGACACAUCCACAUCAUUUUGCAAGGAUUAAUAUCCAAACUGGAGCAGUUCCAGCACCAAGUUCCCUAAUUCCCACAGCAGGGACAGCAGGGCCUUUGGACUGCACGUUCUGACACAUCCGAGGGCUCUGCACUGCUGGGGUUUAGUUGGACUAAACAGCAAAAAUUCUGCUUCUCCCUCCGGCACAAUCAGCACCUUCUGCACUUGCAGUGUCACACUUCAACGUGUUGUUUUCAUUAUUAAUGUUCAGCCGAUGAGAAUAAUACCAAACUUCUCCUUUCAAGGGGAAAGAAACUGAACUUCACAUCUGAUUUCAAGAAACCACUGCCUUUACAUCCUGAAGAGUUCCCACCGCUCAAACUCGCACUCAGCCUCCCCGGUAACGCAAAAGUGCCGUGUCAGAAGUCACACUUUGGGGAUGACACUUGCACAGAACCACCUCCCGCCUGAGAUGCCACGGAAAAUCUCCGAAUUAUCGCUGAGGGGGUUCGGAAAACAAAGAGGCGCGGGGCUGGAGCGGCGGGACGCUGAACUUCACGUGCCGCAGGACGGCAGGUGCGGACACCGGCUCGGCUCGGGCAGCGGCCCCGCCACAGCGCUCCCCGCACCGCCCGGCUGCCCUGCCCGGGCUGCGGGCACGCCGGCCCUGGGGUC
Long non-coding RNA from Passer domesticus (house sparrow), 6231 nucleotides. RefSeq lists it as uncharacterized. Lineage: Eukaryota; Metazoa; Chordata; Aves; Passeriformes; Passeridae. The record is from RefSeq and is a predicted model, not a curated record. The transcript has 4 exons.